AGAGUUUGAUCAUGGCUCAGAGCGAACGCUGGCGGCGUGCUUAACACAUGCAAGUCGAACGCGCAGCAUUCUGUAGCAAUACAGGGUGUGGGCGCGUGGCGAACGGGUGCGUAACACGUGGAUAACCUUCCUUGAGGUGGGGAAUAACCCAGUGAAAAUUGGGCUAAUACCGCAUAACAUCGCGAUGGCACAUGCUGAUGCGAUCAAAGGCGCAAGUCGCCACAAGAGGGAUCCGCGGCCGAUUAGCUUGUUGGCGAGGUAAUGGCUCACCAAGGCAAUGAUCGGUAGCCGGACUGAGAGGUUGGCCGGCCACACUGGAACUGAGACACGGUCCAGACUCCUACGGGAGGCAGCAGUGGGGAAUCUUGCACAAUGGACGAAAGUCUGAUGCAGCAACGCCGCGUGGGGGAUGAAGCUUCUCGGAGUGUAAACCCCUUUCGACCCGGAAGAAUGCCCGCAAGGGUAUGACGGUACGGGUAUAAGAAGCCCCGGCUAACUACGUGCCAGCAGCCGCGGUAAUACGUAGGGGGCCAGCGUUGCUCGGAAUUACUGGGCGUAAAGGGUCCGUAGGCGGUGUAGCAAGUCGAUAGUGAAAUCUCUGGGCUUAACCCAGAGGCUGCUAACGAAACUGCUGUGCUAGAGUGUGAGAGAGGCGAGUGGAAUUACGGGUGUAGCGGUGAAAUGCGUAGAUAUCCGUAGGAACAUCCGAGGCGAAGGCGGCUCGCUGGAUCACAACUGACGCUGAGGGACGAAAGCUAGGGGAGCAAACAGGAUUAGAUACCCCAGUAGUCC
Molecule: ribosomal RNA, 792 nt
Filed under: uncultured bacterium
Lineage: Bacteria
Description: bacterial SSU rRNA
Rfam family: Bacterial small subunit ribosomal RNA
Source: RNAcentral